GAUGAACGCUAGCGGCAGGCUUAACACAUGCAAGUCGAGGGGCAGCAUAAUGGAUAGCAAUAUCUAUGGUGGCGACCGGCGCACGGGUGAGUAACGCGUAUCCAACCUGCCCAUCACUUGGGGAUAACCUUGCGAAAGUAAGACUAAUACCCAAUGACGUCUCUAGAAGACAUCUGAAGGAGAUUAAAGAUUUAUCGGUGAUGGAUGGGGAUGCGUCUGAUUAGCUUGUUGGCGGGGUAACGGCCCACCAAGGCGACGAUCAGUAGGGGUUCUGAGAGGAAGGUCCCCCACAUUGGAACUGAGACACGGUCCAAACUCCUACGGGAGGCAGCAGUGAGGAAUAUUGGUCAAUGGACGAGAGUCUGAACCAGCCAAGUAGCGUGCAGGAUGAAGGCUCUAUGGGUCGUAAACUUCUUUUAUAUGGGAAUAAAGUUUUCCACGUGUGGAAUUUUGUAUGUACCAUAUGAAUAAGGAUCGGCUAAC
Molecule: ribosomal RNA, 483 nt
Filed under: uncultured bacterium
Lineage: Bacteria
Description: bacterial SSU rRNA
Rfam family: Bacterial small subunit ribosomal RNA
Source: RNAcentral